ACCCAAAAACUGAAGUUGCAUUUUCCCUCACAUUGAAAUUAUUCACGAUUCCCCCAAAACCCCAAAUCACACUCGCCGCUUUCUUUCAUCCCGAACCCAAAGAUCAAAUCUGGCAACUCGUGAUUGUCCCCGCCGACAAACUGACUGCUGUGCACUGUCGAUCUUAGCUUGAAGACGAAAUCCCACCGAAACCCAACAUCGAAAUCCUAUUUGAAGAUGGAAGUCAAAACGUAGAUGAUGGAAAAAGGUGAUAUCAUGCCAUAUUACUAUCAACUGUUCCCCGAUCAAGGUGCCCCAAGUUUGUGAUUCUAGCUGGAAAGAACCAACUCUCUCAGCUGCAUGACAAGAGUUUCAUCUGGCAACAGCACAAGGAGUCCACUUCUAAAGAUAAUAUUACUCCACUUCGUAAAUUUUGUGUGAUGAAAAAUCGGGACAUUUGUCACGUGAGGCAACACGAGCUACAUCUUGGGAUCAAUAAUGUCAGUGCAAGAAUGUUUUUGAAAGAUGAGAAAUUAAGCUUGUAAUGUGCUUUUGUCAUAAUUUUUCAAAAAUGUAGUACUGAAACAUUUUGGGACAUGUUGAUUAAAGUAAAUUUGCUAAUGGAGACUUUGACAAAGAAACGAGAAUACCUUUUAU
Long non-coding RNA from Olea europaea var. sylvestris, 636 nucleotides. RefSeq lists it as uncharacterized. The transcript is spliced from 3 exons. The record is from RefSeq and is a predicted model, not a curated record. NCBI's taxonomy places the organism in Eukaryota, Viridiplantae, Streptophyta, Magnoliopsida, Lamiales, Oleaceae.